RNAcentral lists this ribosomal RNA (343 nucleotides) under uncultured bacterium. RNAcentral describes it as "bacterial SSU rRNA". It matches the Rfam family "Bacterial small subunit ribosomal RNA", at positions 28 to 368 of the family's 1533-position model. The record is from RNAcentral.
GAUGAACGCUAGCGGCAGGCUUAAUACAUGCAAGUCGAGGGGCAACAGGGGUAGCAAUACCUGCUGGCGACCGGCAAACGGGUGCGGAACACGUACAGAACCUUCCUUUAAGCGGGGGAUAGCCCAUAGAAAUGUGGAUUAAUACCCCAUAGUAAUAAUGACUGGCAUCAGUUGUUAUUUAAAGAUUUAUCACUUAGAGAUGGCUGUGCGGCUGAUUAGGUAGUUGGNGGGGUAACGGCCCACCAAGCCAGCGAUCAGUAACUGGUGUGAGAGCACGACCAGUCACACGGGCACUGAGACACGGGCCCGACUCCUACGGGAGCAGCAAGUAAGGAAUAUUGGU